Molecule: non-coding RNA, 499 nt
Organism: Paralichthys olivaceus (Japanese flounder)
Lineage: Eukaryota; Metazoa; Chordata; Actinopteri; Pleuronectiformes; Paralichthyidae
Source: RefSeq, a predicted model, not a curated record
CUCCCCCGUGGUGAUGUUGUAGGACUGCACCGUCAGCACGUCCUCCGUCUGACUGGGACGUCGUUGCCGCCGACCCGCCUCCAGCUCGUGGGUGUAGCCGCCCACCAGGUAGAUGGUGUCUUCGACUGAGAGCAUCUGCUGCUUGCGGAUGUGAGCCGAACAGGACCGAAACACCGUCCAGGUGUCAGAGGCGGAGAACUCAGCCAGCGGGUCGGGCAUUGAGGAAACGCAGGUCCACCAGUCCUGCUCCGGGCUGUAACACUCCACCGUGCCCAGACACUGGCCUCCCACAGCGUACAGCUUCCCUUGUACCGCCAGCAGCUUGAAAUUGGACCUGGAGAGGAGGAGACACAAUGAGUGAGCAGAAACAAAACACAGGACGAUUGAUGAUGUAAAGAUCAGGACUCCUGUGAGGCUUCACCACAGACUUAUCGAAGCAGGAAACAGCAGUAGAGAGAAGAAGACGAGAGAUGAACCUGGAGUGGUUGUAUAUUUAUCU